This 440-nucleotide ribosomal RNA is filed under the name uncultured bacterium. Its description in RNAcentral is "partial 16S ribosomal RNA". It matches the Rfam family "Bacterial small subunit ribosomal RNA", at positions 338 to 795 of the family's 1533-position model. The record is from RNAcentral.
CCUACGGGAGACUGCAGUGGGGAAUAUUGCACAAUGGGGGAAACCCUGAUGCAGCGACGCCGCGUGAGUGAAGAAGUACUUCGUUAUGUAAAGCUCUGUCAGCAGGGAAGAAAAUGACGGUACCUGAGUAAGAAGCCCCGGCUAACUACGUGCCAGCAGCCGCGGUAAUACGUAGGGGGCAAGCGUUAGCCGGAUUUACUGGGGGGAAAGGGAGCGUGGACGGCAGUGCAAGACUGGAGUGAAAGGCGGGGGCUCAACCCCCGGACUGCUCUGGAAACUGUACGGCUGGAGUGCAGGAGAGGUAAGUGGAAUUCCUAGUGUAGCGGUGAAAUGCGUAGAUAUCAGGAGGAACACCAGUGGCGAAGGCGGCUUACUGGAACGUAACUGACGUUGAGGCUCGAAAGCGUGGGGAGCAAACAGGAUUAGAUACCCCAGUAGUC